Molecule: transfer RNA, 72 nt
Filed under: Marmota marmota marmota (Alpine marmot)
Lineage: Eukaryota; Metazoa; Chordata; Mammalia; Rodentia; Sciuridae
Also listed under: 1 other name
Rfam family: tRNA
About the family: Transfer RNA (tRNA) molecules are approximately 80 nucleotides in length.
Source: Rfam by way of RNAcentral
UGGGUUGUGGCUCAGUGGUAGAGCGCUCGCCUAGCACGUGUGAGGCCCUGGGUUCAAUCCCCAGCACCACAU